Molecule: unclassified non-coding RNA, 731 nt
Filed under: Hevea brasiliensis (rubber tree)
Lineage: Eukaryota; Viridiplantae; Streptophyta; Magnoliopsida; Malpighiales; Euphorbiaceae
Source: RNAcentral
AAAAAAUGAAAAAUAGAUAAAUAAUAAAUUACAUAUAUACAUGUCAUUAUUACACAUGAUUGAUUGAUUCUAUCAUCCAUCUAUUUUGUGUCAUUAUUGCACAAACAAAUCAUCACCAAAGAGGUAUAGAAUUCUCUCAACAGCCCAACUAGGCUCAGGCUUGACCCAAGCCAAGCUCUGUGAACUGGUCAAAAGAGGGGCCCUACAUAGUGGACAAGUUUUGUGAUUAUCAUCAUGAUCAUCAUCGCGAUCAUGAUCAACCCAUCUUUCAAUGCACUCUCCAUGGAACACGUGGCAGCAGUUCCUUAGUUCUCUGACUUCAUCAUGCUCUCUCAAAUGGCCCAAGCAGACAGCACACGUGUCACAAGCUCCUGAAAUCCUAUCAGUGAGGUCACCAAAAGUGGUUAAAAUCAGACCGUCCCUUAUCUGUUGAGAAGAAGGGAGAGAAUGGGAUUGGUGUAGAGAAUCAUUGGUGGAAGGAGCAGGCAAAUGGGUUCUGUUUCUGAACUUGAGAGCCCAAGACAAGGACCAUCGCAAGACUGCAAGAAUCACAGCUGCCUUGUACAAGAGAUGGGUUACUAUUACACAAGAAUCCUCCUCAAAGAAACCCAUUAAAAGAAAGCAGAAGUUUAUCAAGAACAAGAAGCAGCAGCAGCAGCAGCCAAGAUCCAAGGAGAAGGAAGGAGAAGAAGAAGAGAGAAAGGGGGAGGAUUCGUCAUAUUCUGGCUCAG